This 496-nucleotide unclassified non-coding RNA is filed under the name uncultured Bordetella sp. RNAcentral's name for it is "partial 16S-23S ribosomal RNA intergenic spacer". It matches the Rfam family "Bacterial small subunit ribosomal RNA", at positions 10 to 507 of the family's 1533-position model. Lineage: Bacteria; Pseudomonadati; Pseudomonadota; Betaproteobacteria; Burkholderiales; Alcaligenaceae. The record is from RNAcentral.
GGUUCGAUCCUGGCUCAGAUUGAACGCUGGCGGGAUGCUUUACACAUGCAAGUCGAACGGCAGCACGGACUUCGGUCUGUGGCGAGUAUGAACGGGUGAGUAAUGUAUCGGAACGUGCCUAGUAGCGGGGGAUAACUACGCGAAAGCGUAGCUAAUACCGCAUACGCCCUUCGGGGGAAAGCGGGGACCUUCGGGCCUCGCACUAUUAGAGCGGCCGAUAUCGGAUUAGCUGGAAGCUGGUGGGGUAACGGCUCACCAAGGCGACGAUCCGUAGCUGGUUUGAGAGACGACCAGCCACACUGGGACUGAGACACGGCCCAGACUCCUACGGGAGGCAGCAGUGGGGAAUUUUGACAAUGGGGGAAACCCUGAUCCAGCCAUCCCGCGUGCGAUGAAGGCCUUCGGGUUGUAAAGCACUUUUGGCAGGAAAGAAACGGCACGGAUAAUACCCCGCAACUGACGGUACCUUGCAGAAUAAGCACCGGCUAACUACGUG